This 465-nucleotide ribosomal RNA is filed under the name Vreelandella stevensii. RNAcentral describes it as "partial 16S ribosomal RNA". It matches the Rfam family "Bacterial small subunit ribosomal RNA", at positions 338 to 795 of the family's 1533-position model. Lineage: Bacteria; Pseudomonadati; Pseudomonadota; Gammaproteobacteria; Oceanospirillales; Halomonadaceae. The record is from RNAcentral.
CCUACGGGGGGCUGCAGUGGGGAAUAUUGGACAAUGGGCGAAAGCCUGAUCCAGCCAUGCCGCGUGUGUGAAGAAGGCCUUCGGGUUGUAAAGCACUUUCAGUGGGGAAGAAAGCCUUGGGGCUAAUACCCUCGAGGAAGGACAUCACCCACAGAAGAAGCACCGGCUAACUCCGUGCCAGCAGCCGCGGUAAUACGGAGGGUGCGAGCGUUAAUCGGAAUUACUGGGCGUAAAGCGCGCGUAGGCGGUCUGAUAAGCCGGUUGUGAAAGCCCCGGGCUCAACCUGGGAACGGCAUCCGGAACUGUCAGGAUAGAGUGCAGGAGAGGAAGGUAGAAUUCCCGGUGUAGCGGUGAAAUGCGUAGAGAUCGGGAGGAAUACCAGUGGCGAAGGCGGCCUUCUGGACUGACACUGACGCUGAGGUGCGAAAGCGUGGGUAGCAAACAGGAUUAGAUACCCCAGUAGUC